CGUGACGCCACGCCAGGGAGAUUCCUCUGGACACGGGAGUUCGGUUAAACUUGAGGAAAUAUUUAAAAAGAGAUGAGGAGAGCCAAAAUAACGUGACGUAUGGGACCGGGAAGACGGUUAAAAAACAAAGGAAAACAACAUGCAGGACAAAUUGAAGAUCAGCAAGGGGCAGGUAACCAUAUUUAGGCCUAAUGUCUAACUUCUUGGUGCAUCAUUAUUUAGUUUAUUCUUUCAUUGAAUUUCUUUUAAAACUUGUCAAGUAUUAUGACACUAAUUGACUAACUCAUCAAGUUUAUUCCCCCGGUUUCCGGUUUCAAUGAGCCGACGUACACAUGGGUAUCAUGUGACGUCACAGCGUAAAGCCGGCGCCAUCUUUAGGACCGCCCAGUGACCGAAAGUAAACGGUAAAAAUGCCUUCUAUCUGCUGUGGGGCUGUGAUAACAGUCAGUCAAAAAAACGGGACAUACGUUUUAUAACAUUCCCAAAAACACAGAAAGGAGACAUAAGUGGUUAGCUGCCAUUAAAAGGGAUCACUGGACUCCGACAGAACACUCCAGGCUGUGCAAUGAACACUUCAUUUCGGGUCAGAAGAGUGAGAAUCCAUUGCACCCACAAGUUUGUUUGAUUAUCUCACACCUGAGCAACGCAAAAGAAAAAGAAAUAGCUACAGAAAAUUUGAGCAAAUCCAAGCUGUCAAAAGAAAGAAAAGGACGCAUGAUGUUGGACCUGUGGCACCCUGUGAUGACACCUCAGCUCAGGAGGGUAGAGGUCAGACAGCUGAUCACAACUACUGUAACUCCACAGUCGAUGCUGAGAGCAGUGUACCAUGCUCCAAUGAAGCCUGCCAAGAAACUGUGAGGAAACUGACAGAAGUGUGUACUGCACUGAGGUCAGAGGUUUAUCAGCUCAGGGAAAAGGUUAGCAAGUUAUCCUUCAGCCAGGAAACCUUCAAGGACAAUGAUGACAUGGUGCAGGACUUAACUGGACUUCCAUCCUUUGCCAAGCUGAUGGUUGUCUUCACUUUUGUGUCAGAGUUCCUCAAGGUGGGACCUGGACUGUCUCCCUUUCAAAGCUUUUUAAUGACUCUAAUGAGACUGAAUUUACCACUGCACUUUGUUUCAUUUAUAUUUCAUCUGUCAAAGCCUACUGCGGGCCGAAUUUUUAACAGUACAUUAAAUGUCCUGCAUGAUAGGUUGUCUAGAUGCAUACUGUGGCCCAGUAAGGAACAGAUUCAAAUUAGUUUACCCAUGUGUUUCAAAAAUAGUAGUUACAGAAAUUGUACAUCCAUAAUUGACUACUUUGAAAUUUUCAUUGAAAGACCUAAAAACCUAAGAGCCCGAGCACAAACAUAUUCACAAUACAAGCACCACAAUACUGCAAAGUAUUUGAUAUCAAUAACUCCACAGGGAGUCAUAUCGUUUGUGUCUCGUGCAGAGUUCCCGUUGUCCGGUAAUUACCGGUCUUUGACCGGAAAAAAAUGAGGAGGACCGAAAAUUCUAAAUGUCU
Gadus morhua (Atlantic cod) is the source of this 1506-nucleotide long non-coding RNA. RefSeq lists it as uncharacterized. The record is from RefSeq and is a predicted model, not a curated record. The transcript is spliced from 3 exons. Lineage: Eukaryota; Metazoa; Chordata; Actinopteri; Gadiformes; Gadidae.